RNAcentral lists this ribosomal RNA (253 nucleotides) under uncultured bacterium. Its description in RNAcentral is "partial 16S ribosomal RNA". It matches the Rfam family "Bacterial small subunit ribosomal RNA", at positions 524 to 776 of the family's 1533-position model. The record is from RNAcentral.
UACGAAAGGGGCUAGCGUUGUUCGGAAUUACUGGGCGUAAAGCGCACGUAGGCGGCCUUGUAAGUUGGGGGUGAAAUCCCGGAGCUCAACUCCGGAACUGCCUCCAAAACUACAAAGCUCGAGGAUGUGAGAGGAGAGUGGAAUUCCGAGUGUAGAGGUGAAAUUCGUAGAUAUUCGGAGGAACACCAGUGGCGAAGGCGACUCUCUGGCACAAUUCUGACGCUGAGGCGCGAAAGCGUGGGGAGCAAACAGG